This 470-nucleotide ribosomal RNA is filed under the name uncultured Alphaproteobacteria bacterium. RNAcentral describes it as "bacterial SSU rRNA". It matches the Rfam family "Bacterial small subunit ribosomal RNA", at positions 9 to 524 of the family's 1533-position model. Lineage: Bacteria; Pseudomonadati; Pseudomonadota; Alphaproteobacteria. The record is from RNAcentral.
GAGUUUGAUCCUGGCUCAGAACGAACGCUGGCGGCAGGCUUAACACAUGCAAGUCGAACGCGUGUAGCAAUACACGAGUGGCGCACGGGUGAGUAACGCGUGGAUAUCUGCCUUUUGGUUCGGAAUAACCCCGGGAAACUGGGGCUAAUACCGGAUGGUUCCUUCGGGAUAAAGAUUUAUCGCCAAAAGAUGAGUCCGCGUACGAUUAGCUAGUUGGUGAGGUAAUGGCUCACCAAGGCGACGAUCGUUAGCUGGUCUGAGAGGACGAUCAGCCACACUGGGACUGAGACACGGCCCAGACUCCUACGGGAGGCAGCAGUGGGGAAUAUUGGACAAUGGGGGCAACCCUGAUCCAGCCAUGCCGCGUGAGUGAUGAAGGCCUUCGGGUUGUAAGCUCUUUUGGCGGGGACGAUGAUGACGGUACCCGCAGAAUAAGCCCCGGCUAACUUCGUGCCAGCCGCCGCAGUAAG